CUUUGAUUUCUCUCAUGAACAUUUUUAAAGACGUGCCUUUGCAUCUGUGUUUGUUUAUAAUGAGAGUAAAUGUAAACGUGAUGUGUUGUUUGUGGGUCUUUGAUCGUGUGGAAUAUUUCUGCUGCUGCAGCUGAAAUCCAACACUUUAGUUUUUUCUUUCUAUUUGUUUAACGUGGAAACUUUAAACGUGGUCACAGGACGUCUCCGGUCCAAUAACAGUGCAGGUGUUUGGCAGCAGUGAUGAGUCUGACCUUCACCAGCAGAGGGAUCUAAUAAAUAAGAGUGACGGCGGUUUCUUCAUCUAUAAAAGCUGAGCGGUUUCCUCUGUUACUGCCUGCAGAAGGUAAAUGAAUGUAAGAGCUGGUUUUGUUUAGUUUUUGUUACUUUUAAAUCAUGAGGAGGAGAAGGAGGAGGAGGGGGGUUGUUGGGAUAAGUUCUCAUGAUAAGAACAGGCUGUGAGAGCAGCUGACUCACAGUGAUGGAGACACCCAGAGUCUGAGCAAACGGAUGAUCCAGCUAAGAAAAGACGUUCAUCUGUUUGUAUUUUUGCUUUGUAAGGUCCAUCUGCAGGAUCCUCCUCCUCUCCAGACGAAGAUCCAAUCACACCUGAGGAACAAACUGCUGCUCAGGGAAAGGUUUCGAGCUCUUUGAUGAUAUUUUUAGGUGAACUGGGAGAAUCGUUCUGAAUAUGGACGCAGACUCCCUGUGACUGUCGUAUCUGACCAAUAGGAGGUGCUGCAACACAACAUCUGUAUCUCCAGUAAUCAGCAGGCGACCUGUCCAAGGUGUAGACGGAGAUGAUCUCAGUGAUGCAUUCAGGGAGCGUUUGAAGGGCGGCUGCAGGAGGUGAAGCCGAUUAUUCCACGUCCCUCCUGGUUUAAACAGCCCUGUAUACAGGUGCUGCUGCUCUGCAACCACGUCCACCUCCACCCACCUCCCCUUUAAUGCUUUCUGAUCUCCUGCUGUUAGUGACGCUCGCUUUGCUCUGAGCGGGGCAGGAAGUGAACCUGGAAAAUAUGAAUAAGUGUAAAUGGAAUAAAAAGACUAUUUAACUUCUACGUCAGCUCUGUCACCAGCUCCUUAUGGUGCAGGUGAGAGUUUGAUGACCAGUCACAGGGAUGAUGCUGAGUCUGCUGCAGCUCUGUUAAGUUUAUAACAGAUAGUUCUGGCCUCUGAACACCAGCAGCGCUCCAGCAGCCUCCCACGGUCGUGGCCACACAUCUUUUGGUUUGCUGGAUCCACUCCUGCUUCAUCAGAAAACCCAGAUGAUCAGUUUGCAGACUUUUCUAGUCACCUUUUAAGGACUGAGCACAGAUUCUCAAUGGGAUUAAAGACCGGGGAGUUUCCUGGCCUCGGAUGCAAAUUGUUAAUUUUCUGAUCUCAGAGCCGCUUAGUGUUGAGUUUAGCCUCGAGACGCGGCGCUCCAUCAGGCUGGAAAAUGCACAGACUCCAGAACGCUCCUGGAUCUGUGGGAGAGGCUGGUCAUCGAGGAUGUUUGUGGUGUGGUCAGUGCUUAAAAAGCUGAAACCUGUGAUCAGCGUGGAGCUGUGGCAUCCCCAUCAGUCAGCGGUUGGCUCAGAGGCUGAUGUUCAGCAUGCACAGACCUGCAGACGUUCUAAAGAAGAAAGGUCACCACGUCUCAGCUGAAUUUUGAACGUUUUUUCUGAGCUGUCUUUAAACAUCGAUUAUCCUUCAAUAAAUCACAGAAACAUGCAAAGAACUCAAACUAAGUUCUGUGAGGAGCAAACGCUGGGCGUGAGGAGUGAAUGCAGCUCAAAGCUGUGUGAAGUCUCUCUUCUGUUUCACGUUGUAUUUUGACAUAUCUGCAUUUUCACACAUGUCAGAGGGAAUUUGAAUAAAGACAAUAAAAACCAACACCUGU
Molecule: long non-coding RNA, 1882 nt
Organism: Astatotilapia calliptera (eastern happy)
Lineage: Eukaryota; Metazoa; Chordata; Actinopteri; Cichliformes; Cichlidae
Source: Ensembl